AGCUCCAAUAGCGUAUACUAACGUUGCUGCAGUUAAAAAGCUCGUAGUUGGAUUUCUGGUGGGAGCGAUCUGUCUUCACACUGUGAGGUACUUGAUUGUCUCCAGCCAUCCUUGGGAAGAUCCUAUCUGGCAUUAAGUUGUCGGGUAGGGGACUCCCAUCUUUUACUGUGAAAAAAUUAGAGUGUUCAAAGCAGGCUUAUGCCGUUGAAUAUACUAGCAUGGAAUAAUAAUAUAGGACCUUGGUACUAUUUUGUUGGUUUGCGCACCGAGGUAAUGAUUAACAGGGACAGUUGGGGGUAUUCGUAUUCAGUUGUCAGAGGUGAAAUUCUUGGAUUUACGGAAGACGAACUACUGCAAAAGCAUUUACCAAGGAUGUUUUCAUUAAUCAAGAACGAAAGUA
This 400-nucleotide ribosomal RNA is filed under the name phytoplankton environmental sample. Its description in RNAcentral is "partial small subunit ribosomal RNA". It matches the Rfam family "Eukaryotic small subunit ribosomal RNA", at positions 587 to 991 of the family's 1831-position model. The record is from RNAcentral.